Molecule: small nuclear RNA, 107 nt
Organism: Cavia porcellus (domestic guinea pig)
Lineage: Eukaryota; Metazoa; Chordata; Mammalia; Rodentia; Caviidae
Source: Ensembl
CUGCUCACUUCAGCAGCACAUAUACUAAAAUUGGAAUGAUACAGAGAAGAUUAGCAUGGCCCUUAUGCAAGGAUGACACGCAAAUUGGUGAAGCAUUCCAUACACUU